CCUACGGGGCGCUGCAGUGAGGAAUAUUGGUCAAUGGACGAGAGUCUGAACCAGCCAAGUAGCGUGAAGGAUGACUGCCCUAUGGGUUGUAAACUUCUUUUAUAUGGGAAUAAAAUGUUCCACGUGUGGGAUUUUGUAUGUACCAUAUGAAUAAGGAUCGGCUAACUCCGUGCCAGCAGCCGCGGUAAUACGGAGGAUCCGAGCGUUAUCCGGAUUUAUUGGGUUUAAAGGGAGCGUAGGUGGAUUGUUAAGUCAGUUGUGAAAGUUUGCGGCUCAACCGUAAAAUUGCAGUUGAAACUGGCAGUCUUGAGGACAGUAGAGGUGGGCGGAAUUCGUGGUGUAGCGGUGAAAUGCUUAGAUAUCACGAAGAACUCCGAUUGCGAAGGCAGUUCACUGGACUGCAACUGACACUGAGGCUCGAAAGUGUGGGUAUCAAACAGGAUUAGAUACCCCAGUAGUC
This 460-nucleotide ribosomal RNA is filed under the name uncultured bacterium. RNAcentral's name for it is "partial 16S ribosomal RNA". It matches the Rfam family "Bacterial small subunit ribosomal RNA", at positions 338 to 795 of the family's 1533-position model. The record is from RNAcentral.